This 460-nucleotide ribosomal RNA is filed under the name uncultured bacterium. RNAcentral's name for it is "partial 16S ribosomal RNA". It matches the Rfam family "Bacterial small subunit ribosomal RNA", at positions 338 to 795 of the family's 1533-position model. The record is from RNAcentral.
CCUACGGGCGGCAGCAGUGAGGAAUAUUGGUCAAUGGGCGCAAGCCUGAACCAGCCAAGUCGCGUGAGGGAAUAAGGCCCUGCGGGUCGUAAACCUCUUUUGCCGGGGAGCAGUCCUCAGGACGCGUCCGGACCGGGAGAGUACCCGGAGAAAAAGCAUCGGCUAACUCCGUGCCAGCAGCCGCGGUAAUACGGAGGAUGCGAGCGUUAUCCGGAUUUAUUGGGUUUAAAGGGUGCGUAGGCGGGCAGUUAAGUCGGCGGUAAAAUGUCGGGGCUCAACCCCGGCCUGCCGUCGGAACUGGCUGCCUUGAGGGGGCGAGAAGUAUGCGGAAUGCGUGGUGUAGCGGUGAAAUGCAUAGAUAUCACGCAGAACCCCGAUUGCGAAGGCAGCAUACCGGCGCCCUACUGACGCUGAGGCACGAAAGUGCGGGUAUCGAACAGGAUUAGAUACCCGAGUAGUC